GUUUAAUUUGUUGUUCAGGCUGUCAGUAACAAGUUCUGGAGUCAUUACAGUUGGUGUGAGCAAGCAAAGACUGUUCAAAUGCAACUAGACUGGCUGGUAGCAUAAUGGAAAGAAUGUCCCAUGCAAGCUUCACAAAGAGGCUCCAUUCUGUGCUUCAAUUACAGCGUUCACCUGAAGGAGGAUUUCCUAGGUAUUACUGAUAAAGCACACGACUGAAGGAGCAUGGAAGUGAUCAUUCCUCUGUAGCUCUGGUGGGCAGGAAACUGCAAUAAGCACAGUCAUGGCAACCACAUCGUAACAGCCAACAGUAUUGUCAGUAUUGUCCACACCAACAGAAGACUGCUUUUCCCUACCCAUGCCAUCAUGGAAACCAGCCUCAACAAACGCAGAGAAAUGCUGCUGCUCCAGAAUUACAUGCAAGAUGUAUCUGAUGUUUCCAUCAUAUAAAAUAGCUCUCUAUCUGUACACGUUUUCCGAGAAUAAGGAUACAGAACUUCCAGCUAAUUAUUUCUGAGAUUAUUUAAGAUCCAGAGGAAAUGUGAGGAUCUGUGACAACAGCGAGCACCACCUGAGGCUGGUUACUCUCCAGUGAAGAUUAGAUAGAUUGAGAAGGUAAUAAAAAGACACUAGGCAAUUUGUUCCA
RNAcentral lists this long non-coding RNA (643 nucleotides) under Phasianus colchicus (ring-necked pheasant). Its description in RNAcentral is "lncRNA (ENSPCLG00000020052.1)". The record is from RNAcentral. Lineage: Eukaryota; Metazoa; Chordata; Aves; Galliformes; Phasianidae.